GGGCGAGGUUGCUUCGGUAACUGAGCUAGCGGCGGACGGGUGAGUAAUGCUUAGGAAUCUGCCUAUUAGUGGGGGACAACAUUCCGAAAGGAAUGCUAAUACCGCAUACGCCCUACGGGGGAAAGCAGGGGAUCUUCGGACCUUGCGCUAAUAGAUGAACCUAAGUCAGAUUAGCUAGUUGGUGGGGUAAAGGCCUACCAAGGCGACGAUCUGUAGCGGGUCUGAGAGGAUGAUCCGCCACACUGGGACUGAGACACGGCCCAGACUCCUACGGGAGGCAGCAGUGGGGAAUAUUGGACAAUGGGCGCAAGCCUGAUCCAGCCAUGCCGCGUGUGUGAAGAAGGCCUUUUGGUUGUAAAGCACUUUAAGCGAGGAGGAGGCUACUUGGAUUAAUACUCUAGGAUAGUGGACGUUACUCGCAGAAUAAGCACCGGCUAACUCUGUGCCAGCAGCCGCGGUAAUACAGAGGGUGCGAGCGUUAAUCGGAUUUGCUGGGCGUAAAGCGUGCGUAGGCGGCUUCUUAAGUCGGAUGUGAAAUCCCUGAGCUUAACUUAGGAAUUGCAUUCGAUACUGGGAAGCUAGAGUAUGGGAGAGGAUGGUAGAAUUCCAGGUGUAGCGGUGAAAUGCGUAGAGAUCUGGAGGAAUACCGAUGGCGAAGGCAGCCAUCUGGCCUAAUACUGACGCUGAGGUACGAAAGCAUGGGGAGCAAACAGGAUUAGAUACCCUGGUAGUCCAUGCCGUAAACGAUGUCU
This 752-nucleotide ribosomal RNA is filed under the name uncultured bacterium. RNAcentral describes it as "bacterial SSU rRNA". It matches the Rfam family "Bacterial small subunit ribosomal RNA", at positions 67 to 814 of the family's 1533-position model. The record is from RNAcentral.